This 251-nucleotide unclassified non-coding RNA is filed under the name Hevea brasiliensis (rubber tree). Lineage: Eukaryota; Viridiplantae; Streptophyta; Magnoliopsida; Malpighiales; Euphorbiaceae. The record is from RNAcentral.
AGGUUGCAGCUGGAUUGAGGUAACAUAUGAGGUGCAUGCGUUUCUAUAGGGGACAAGGCUCAUCCGAGGUGUGAAGAGAUUUAUGAAAUGCUUGGUUUGCCAAUUGGCGAUAUGAAAUGGGAUUGAUGCAUACCUGAUAUUGAUUUUCCCCUUGAUGAGUAGGCAGAGGAAUAUGAGCAUCCAGAAGAGCUAAGAACCAGUGCAUAAAACCUAUAGUUCAGCAACUGACAUGGUAAAUAUGGGAUUUUUGA